GAUGAACGCUGGCGGCGUGCCUAAUACAUGCAAGUCGAGCGAACAGACGAGGAGCUUGCUCCUCUGACGUUAGCGGCGGACGGGUGAGUAACACGUGGAUAACCUACCUAUAAUACUGGGAUAACUUCGGGAAACCGGAGCUAAUACCGGAUAAUAUAUUGAACCGCAUGGUUCAAUAGUGAAAGACGGUUUUGCUGUCACUUAUAGAUGGAUCCGCGCCGCAUUAGCUAGUUGGUAAGGUAACGGCUUACCAAGGCAACGAUGCGUAGCCGACCUGAGAGGGUGAUCGGCCACACUGGAACUGAGACACGGUCCAGACUCCUACGGGAGGCAGCAGUAGGGAAUCUUCCGCAAUGGGCGAAAGCCUGACGGAGCAACGCCGCGUGAAUGAUGAAGGUCUUCGGAUCGUAAAACUCUGUUAUUAGGGAAGAACAAAUGUGUAAGUAACUAUGCACGUCUUGACGGUACCUAAUCAGAAAGCCACGGCUAACUACGUG
This 497-nucleotide ribosomal RNA is filed under the name uncultured bacterium. Its description in RNAcentral is "partial 16S ribosomal RNA". It matches the Rfam family "Bacterial small subunit ribosomal RNA", at positions 28 to 507 of the family's 1533-position model. The record is from RNAcentral.